RNAcentral lists this ribosomal RNA (300 nucleotides) under uncultured bacterium. Its description in RNAcentral is "bacterial SSU rRNA". It matches the Rfam family "Bacterial small subunit ribosomal RNA", at positions 115 to 431 of the family's 1533-position model. The record is from RNAcentral.
ACGUGAGAAUCUGCCCUUAGGAGGAGGAUAACAGCUGGAAACGGUUGCUAAUACUCCAUAUGCCGAGAGGUGAAAGGAUUUAUCCACCUAAGGAGGAGCUCGCGUCUGAUUAGCUAGUUGGUAGGGUAAUAGCCUACCAAGGCGACGAUCAGUAGCUGGUUUGAGAGGAUGAUCAGCCACACUGGGACUGAGACACGGCCCAGACUCCUACGGGAGGCAGCAGUGGGGAAUAUUGCACAAUGGGCGCAAGCCUGAUGCAGCCAUGCCGCGUGUGUGAAGAAGGCUCUAGGGUUGUAAAGC